UACGUAGGGUGCAAGCGUUGUCCGGAAUUAUUGGGCGUAAAGGGCUCGUAGGCGGUCCGUCACGUCGGGAGUGAAAACUUGGGGGCUUAACCCCAAGCCUGCUUCCGAUACGGGCGGACUAGAGGUAGGCAGGGGAGAACGGAAUUCCUGGUGUAGCGGUGAAAUGCGCAGAUAUCAGGAGGAAUACCGGUGGUGCAGACGGCUCUCUGGACCGCAACUGACGCUGAGACACGAAAAGCGUGGGUAGCAAACAGG
Molecule: ribosomal RNA, 255 nt
Filed under: uncultured bacterium
Lineage: Bacteria
Description: partial 16S ribosomal RNA
Rfam family: Bacterial small subunit ribosomal RNA
Source: RNAcentral